RNAcentral lists this ribosomal RNA (271 nucleotides) under Photobacterium leiognathi subsp. mandapamensis. RNAcentral describes it as "partial 23S ribosomal RNA". It matches the Rfam family "Bacterial large subunit ribosomal RNA", at positions 2678 to 2925 of the family's 2925-position model. The record is from RNAcentral. Lineage: Bacteria; Pseudomonadati; Pseudomonadota; Gammaproteobacteria; Vibrionales; Vibrionaceae.
CUAGUACGAGAGGACCGGAGUGGACGAACCGCUGGUGUUCGGGUUGUGUCGCCAGACGCAUUGCCCGGUAGCUAAGUUCGGAAUCGAUAACCGCUGAAAGCAUCUAAGCGGGAAGCGAGCCUCAAGAUGAGUCAUCCCUAGACCUUUAAGGUCUCUAAAGGGUUGUUGAAGACUACAACGUUGAUAGGUCGGGUGUGUAAGUGCUGUGAGGCAUUGAGCUAACCGAUACUAAUUGCCCGUGAGGCUUAACCAUACAACACCCAAGGGGUUU